UACGUAGGGGGCAAGCGUUAUCCGGAUUUGCUGGGCGUAAAGGGAGCGUAGACGGCAUGGCAAGCCAGAUGUGAAAUACCGGGGCUCAACCCCGGGACUGCAUUUGGAACUGUUAAGCUGGAGUGUCGGAGAGGCAGGCGGAAUUCCUAGUGUAGCGGUGAAAUGCGUAGAUAUUAGGAGGAACACCAGUGGCGAAGGCGGCCUGCUGGACGAUGACUGACGUUGAGGCUCGAAAGCGUGGGGAGCAAACAGG
This 253-nucleotide ribosomal RNA is filed under the name uncultured bacterium. Its description in RNAcentral is "partial 16S ribosomal RNA". It matches the Rfam family "Bacterial small subunit ribosomal RNA", at positions 524 to 776 of the family's 1533-position model. The record is from RNAcentral.